GAUGAACGCUGGCGGCGUGCCUAAUACAUGCAAGUCGAGCGAACAGACGAGGAGCUUGCUCCUCUGACGUUAGCGGCGGACGGGUGAGUAACACGUGGAUAACCUACCUAUAAGACUGGGAUAACUUCGGGAAACCGGAGCUAAUACCGGAUAACAUGUUGAACCGCAGGGUUCAACAGAGAAAGACGGUUUUGCUGUAACUUAUAGAGGGAUCCGCGUCGCAUUAGCUGGUUGGUACGUUAACGGCUUAUCAAGGCAACGAGGCGUAGCCGACCUGUGAGGGUGAUCGGCGACCUUGGAGGUUGGCCACGCUCCAGACUCCUACGAGACGCAGCAGUAGGGAAUCUUCCGCAGUGGGCGAGAGCCUGACGGAGCGACGCCGCGUGAGUUGAGGAAGUCUUCGGAUCGUAAAGCUCUCUUAUUAGUGAAGAACAAAUGUGUAAUUUGCUAAGCACGUAUUGACGGUACCUAAUCAGAAAGCCCCGGCUAACUACGUG
Molecule: ribosomal RNA, 497 nt
Filed under: uncultured bacterium
Lineage: Bacteria
Description: partial 16S ribosomal RNA
Rfam family: Bacterial small subunit ribosomal RNA
Source: RNAcentral